Long non-coding RNA from Ictalurus furcatus (blue catfish), 723 nucleotides. RefSeq lists it as uncharacterized. The record is from RefSeq and is a predicted model, not a curated record. NCBI's taxonomy places the organism in Eukaryota, Metazoa, Chordata, Actinopteri, Siluriformes, Ictaluridae. The transcript has 3 exons.
UGGGUGUUUUUAUUAAAUUUUUUUACGAACGCUUUAAGUGCGGUUAAUUAUUUGUCAUGCUUUACGUGCUAAUAGACGACUGCUUGAAGCCGUAUAAACAACUGCUUGAAGCGGUGGGUGUGUCCCAAAUCGCAUAGUUACCGUCUGUAUAGUAGCCGAGAUACAUGUAUUUGUCCCCACUACAGACCUAUAUUAGGAAAGUAUGCGAUUUGGGACGCAGCCGAACUCUCUUGUUCGCCGUAAAACGUAAAACUGCCGUGUGUGAUCGUGUCCUGUCGCAAAAUGCGGUGAAAACUCCCACACGACGUUCAUAAUGUGAUUAAGGUGUUUACAUGUCACGACUACACGUCCAUAAUGCGACUAAAACAGGAGUACUCCACCUGUCUUAAUUAGAUUAGAGCGUACUUCGAUUAUGACCUUGAUUAAAUUAAGCUUAUUGUGCACAGAUGGAUUUCUCAAGAAGAAGCCCUGUAGUACGGUCCAAACAUGGCGUUCCACAUCUGCUGCCAGAGUCCGUACAGCCGAAGGAUCCACGGAUAAGCUGAAGGCAAAGCUGUGGAUUAAAGGGUGUAUGCUUUUUAAACCCAAGACACCAAGGGACGGGUUCAGGCCUUGGAUAUGAAUGGUUCAUCUUUUUAGCGUCAUGAUUCUCGAGUAUAGUAAGCGCGGUCUGUCUCUGAUCCUCAGUAAAGGCGACCUGUCCCACAUCAUCCUUCAGCAGCU